CUCUUCCAACCUCUGCAAGAUCCCACCAAGCACACACACAGAUUGCCCCUUGAUCAUCACAAAGCUCAUGGCUGUUCCCAGAUGGGAAAACUGAGGCCCAGAGAGAGUCAGUGACUUGCCCGGAGACACGCAGCUGCUCUAAACAAGAGUAUGUCGUCCAAGCCAGGAAGGGUCAGACCCAGUGACUACUUCAGAGACAGACACAUGACCCAAGUUAGUCCAA
Molecule: long non-coding RNA, 223 nt
Organism: Pan troglodytes (chimpanzee)
Lineage: Eukaryota; Metazoa; Chordata; Mammalia; Primates; Hominidae
Exons: 3
Source: RefSeq, a predicted model, not a curated record